Mytilus californianus (California mussel) is the source of this 1104-nucleotide long non-coding RNA. RefSeq lists it as uncharacterized. The record is from RefSeq and is a predicted model, not a curated record. NCBI's taxonomy places the organism in Eukaryota, Metazoa, Mollusca, Bivalvia, Mytilida, Mytilidae. The transcript has 5 exons.
UAUACUUUAUCAACAGCGCGAAUAUUCUACAUAUGUGCUACCUGUUGAAAACAACAUGUUAGCUGAACUAUUCGAUAUUAUGUUAUUUAACUAAUAUGUUUGGAAAGACAGUAUAAUCAGUCAUUGGAGUCGUGACUUAUGGAUGAGCUCAAAAAGACUCGUGGUAUACACAGACGCGUUGCUGUUGUUAAAAUACAGGAAGCAAAUGAAAAGGAUGUUGACCUUUCAAAACUUCAAGCUAUUAUAAAAAUUCUUAAAAAGAAAAAAAAAAAUGAUUGAAAAUUUAGACAAAGCCAUUCAAGAUAAAACCGAUGAUGAACAUAAGGAAACAGAAAUUAUAGAAGCUGAUGAGUAUAUUUUUGAAAUUGUAGAGGCGAUUGUUAGAUACAAGGAAAUUUUAUCGAGACCGGAAAAAUGGUCAUUAAUAUUAUUCGACAAGAAUGGAACUACCAUGAGAACGACAAAAAUGCAAACUAAUGAAGAUUGUACAUUUGGCAAAGACAAUUUGAAAGUGGAAGUGCUUUAUCAAGCAGAUAAUCAAGAAGAUUUGAACAUAUUGGAAAAUGAAUGGUACAAAUCUAAUCGAGCUAUUGCCAUUCAUAAAGAAAUAUCCAAACGAUACAAACCAAACCUGAUUAAAAAAAAAAAACGAAUCAAAGGAUGGUGGAUUUCUAGGUGUGCGUGUUGCGAAUGACAUACCCGUUGAACAGAAUAAAGAUAAUAACAAUAACAAGACUGGUUCAGAGAAAAACGAAGAGAUACCAAAACCAGGAUUAUGCUCGACUGAAAACCUGAAACUUAUUGGAAGGCAUUUACUGAAAUAUAAGAUCUUAUAUGGACCUCUUCUGACAAUAGGGCUUUUAUUAUGUGGGUGUGACAUAAAAGAUAUAAUUGAAGUCAUUCGCUUAUUCGACCCACGUGUCAGCAACAAAAUAUAUGAAAUUUUAGCCUUAAUAAUAAAUAAAACGGAUGAUACAACGCAAAGUAACACUGCUUGAUAUAAACUUAGGUUAUAGCUUAAUCGUUGCCUUAUCAACAGUUGAAUUUAGGUUAAUGUAGUAUAAGACGUUUUGAGAAAUUAAAUAUUUUCUUUAAAUAUUGCAA